Xyrichtys novacula (pearly razorfish) is the source of this 504-nucleotide non-coding RNA. The record is from the annotation of a GenBank genome assembly. NCBI's taxonomy places the organism in Eukaryota, Metazoa, Chordata, Actinopteri, Labriformes, Labridae.
GUUUCAUCUCAGUGCGUAGUUCAAAAGCCAGCAUCUGUGAUGGUACGAGGCUACAAAAGGGAAGACACUAGCACACCAUUAAAGAAGGAUGACAUUUCUAACCAGCUCUUUAAAUGAGCUGACCCUGUUUGCAGCAGUAGAACAUCUAACUUCUAACGACGCCAAAGAGUGGACCAGAUCUCCUGAGGGUAAUACACCUAUUACUGACAAGUACCACUUUGAAAUUGAAAAACUAUCCCUUUAACGUUUUCUGUUAGUCCUGAAGUCUUAAUGUGCGCAGAGUGCCGGAUAAUGAGACAAUCAGUCCUGGGUUAAUGUGAUUCCCUGAGCAGAUGGAAAACAGAUACAGAGACACUGAGAUGUGUCCCAUGUGGACUCUGUUAUAGGAACAAACAUAAGGCGGUCUGUGAGCUCUGUUGAGGAGCAGCUGGGGGUUUUGCUGCAGUACAGAGUGAUGCACAGAAUACCAAACGGUCUGAGUCCUGAGCGUGCAGCGUUUGUGAG